Molecule: ribosomal RNA, 253 nt
Filed under: uncultured bacterium
Lineage: Bacteria
Description: partial 16S ribosomal RNA
Rfam family: Bacterial small subunit ribosomal RNA
Source: RNAcentral
UACGUAGGCGGCAAGCGUUACCCGGAUUUAUUGGGCGUAAAGAGUGCGCAGGCGGGUCUCUAAGUUAUCAUUGAAAUCUCUCCGCUCAACGGGGAAACUGGUGGUAAUACUGGAGGCCUGGAUGACUAGAGGGGGUACCGGAACAGUUGGUGGAGCAGUGAAAUGCGUUGAUAUCAACUGGAACACCAAAGGCGAAGGCAGGUACCUGGCUAGUUCAUGACGCUGAUGCACGAAAGCGUGGGGAGCAAAACGG